Molecule: transfer RNA, 54 nt
Filed under: Thermotoga petrophila
Lineage: Bacteria; Thermotogati; Thermotogota; Thermotogae; Thermotogales; Thermotogaceae
Description: transfer RNA-Arg
Rfam family: tRNA
About the family: Transfer RNA (tRNA) molecules are approximately 80 nucleotides in length. Their secondary structure includes four short double-helical elements and three loops (D, anti-codon, and T loops).
Source: RNAcentral
UGGAUAGAGCGUCGGACUUCGGAUCCGAUGGUUGCGGGUUCGAGUCCUGCCGGG